Ailuropoda melanoleuca (giant panda) is the source of this 1161-nucleotide long non-coding RNA. RefSeq lists it as uncharacterized. Lineage: Eukaryota; Metazoa; Chordata; Mammalia; Carnivora; Ursidae. The record is from RefSeq and is a predicted model, not a curated record. The transcript is spliced from 3 exons.
UCAUAGCUGAAGAGCCUGAUGUGGGGCUCGAUCCCACAACGCCGGGAUCACGCCCUGAGCCGAAGGCAGACGCUUAACCGCUGUGCCACCCAGGCGCCCCGAGAAUAUUAUUUUCUAAAAGCAAUGAGAAGAGGCAAUGAAACAUUAUGGAGCCAGAAAAGGACACAAAUACACUUGGGCAUCGUGUGUUCUGGGCCCUCUCUGCUCCUCCUUCUGUUCUGUAUUCCUUGGUGAUCCCACCCAGCUGACUCAUGGCUUAAAUACCAUCUGUACACUGGAGACUCUCAAAUUUAUAUCUCCAACCCAGACUUCUCUUCUGACCUCCAGACUGUGAUCUCUAGGCCCAACAUGGGGCUCGAGCUCAUGACCCCGGGAUCAAGAGUCACAUGCUCUACGGACUGAGCCAGCCAGGCAUCCCAAUCCACGGCUAAUUUAAUUGGUGAAAUAAUGUUGCAAAAUGAAUUCAUCCAGCAACCAUGUAUUGAAUUGUGACACUGGACGGGAGCCGCACUGUGUGGCACAGUAGCCACAGCCAUGUGUCGCGAUCAAGCACUUGAGAGAUAGCUAGGGCUGCAUUUUUAGCUUAUUUUUAAUUAAUUAAAAUCUAAGCACUGACUCUCAAAUCAGUUAUUGGAAAAGUUUUAGUAUGUUUGUAAUGAUUUGGGUAUGCAAAUCUACCUUUUCAACCCUAAGUUUUCUGAAAUGCAAAUAGGGUACAAGCAUUUACAAUAAAAAUUUAGCAUCCAUAUUGAGAUGUACUCUAAGUACAAAACACACUGGAUUUUGAAGACAGUGCAAAAAAGACUAAAAUAUUCUGUAAUAUUUUAAUAUUCAUUACAUUCUUAAAUGGUAACAUUUUUUUCUAUUUGGAGUUAAAUAAAAUAUAUUAUUAAAAUUAAUUUCCCCUGUUUUGUUUUAAAAUGUGGCUACUAGAAAAUUUCAAAUUUCGUAUGUGGCUUGCAUUAUAUUUCUAGUGGACAGCUCUGUCCUACGGACUAGUGGUAGAGUCAAAAAUGAUUUCGUCGACCCCUUGGGUUCAAGAAGCCUAUGACUUCGGGCCGCCUGGGUGGCGCAGUCCUUAAGCGUCUGCCUUUGGCUCAGGGCGUGAUCCUGGCAUUCCGGGGAUCAAGUCCCACAUCAGACUCCUCUGCUGGGAGCCUG